UACGUAGGUGGCAAGCGUUGUCCGGAUUUAUUGGGUUUAAAGGGUGCGUAGGCGGUCUUCUAAGUCAGUUGUGAAAUACUUCAGCUUAACUGGAGAGGUGCAAUUGAUACUGGAAGACUUGAGUACUGAUGAGGUAGGCGGAAUGGACGGUGUAGCGGUGAAAUGCUUAGAUAUCGUCCAGAACACCGAUAGCGAAGGCAGCUUACUAAGGAGUAACUGACGCUGAUGCACGAAAGUGUGGGGAUCAAACAGG
RNAcentral lists this ribosomal RNA (253 nucleotides) under uncultured bacterium. Its description in RNAcentral is "partial 16S ribosomal RNA". It matches the Rfam family "Bacterial small subunit ribosomal RNA", at positions 524 to 776 of the family's 1533-position model. The record is from RNAcentral.